CCAGACUCCUACGGGAGGCAGCAGUGGGGAAUAUUGCACAAUGGGGGGAACCCUGAUGCAGCGACGCCGCGUGGGUGAAGGAGCACCUCGGUGCGUAAAGCCCUAUCGGCAGGGAAGAAACAGACGGUACCUGACUAAGAAGCCCCGGCUAACUCCGUGCCAGCAGCCGCGGUAAUACGGAGGAUGCGAGCGUUAUCCGGAUUUAUUGGGUUUAAAGGGUGCGUAGGCGGACAGUCAAGUCAGCGGUAAAAAUGCGGUGCUCAACGCCGUACAGCCGUUGAAACUGGCAGUCUUGAGUGGGCGAGAAGUAUGCGGAAUGCGUGGUGUAGCGGUGAAAUGCAUAGAUAUCACGCAGAACUCCGAUUGCGGAGGCAGCAUACCGGCGCCCGACUGACGCUGAGGCACGAAAGCGUGGGUAUCGAACAGGAUUAGAUACCCGGGUAAG
Molecule: ribosomal RNA, 445 nt
Filed under: uncultured bacterium
Lineage: Bacteria
Description: partial 16S ribosomal RNA
Rfam family: Bacterial small subunit ribosomal RNA
Source: RNAcentral